RNAcentral lists this long non-coding RNA (462 nucleotides) under Helianthus annuus (common sunflower). RNAcentral's name for it is "hypothetical non coding rna". The record is from RNAcentral. Lineage: Eukaryota; Viridiplantae; Streptophyta; Magnoliopsida; Asterales; Asteraceae.
GGAAGGACACACUAGUGUCCUCGCGAAGGGUGCGGUGCACCCUAACUCGCUUGCGCUCGCGCGUGGGCGAUGCGGCGCUUUGAUGGCGCACUUCGCUCGCAUCGCCGCGAGCCGCUUAAGAGCCGCCUUUGUAUUUUUGACCGCGUGCGCGUGGUGGAGCACAAAGGUUGCAAGGACCAAGUGGUAGGUGAUGCAGCGCAUGACGUGGCAGUCAUGCGCAUGCGCGCGCGAGUACAUGGCACGGAGGCGCGCGGUUGCGUGCAUGGUGCAUGGGUCCUACUGUGUCGUGCGCGGCGCACCAGAGUGAGCCAAUACGGCGCGACUGUGUGGCGCGCUCGUAUAGGCUCAUAGGUGACGUGGCGCACGUGCGCAUGGACUUGAGCCAAGAGGACGCAACGGCAUGGGCGUGCAGACCUGGGUGCGCGCGCACCAGGGUGACUUGCGCGCGCAGAAGCUUCCAGC